GAAAAGAAUAAACAGCUGUAAACACUACUUUAUUAAGCACGAGUGUGUAAUUCUCUGAAAUAUUUCUUUGUGGGAAAGAGAUUCUGCCCCGCACGGCCCAAUUCAAAGCUUCCGCUAGUGCUAAGCCCAAUGUUUCCGAAUUUCCCGCUGACCGAGACUCCAGGUCCACAGAUCGCCCCUCGCAGCCGAUCCCCGACCCCGGCCCUGGCGGAGGCGGGAGACGGCUGCGGACCUGCAGCCCCGGUAGACAGAGGACCAGAGUGCGGGCCUCUCAAAGGCGGGGACUUGGUGGAAGCGGUCCAGUUCUCGCGAGGUUUCGUCCUGACCGGAGCAGGCGACAGCUCCGCGGAGAGAGUGGGUUUCGCUCACAGGAGGGAGCCGAAGGGCCCGGAGUGGUCGUUGCUACCCGGGGUCCGAGCCGGGGGAGAAGCCGUCACCUGUAAAAAGCCAGUUCUCCCUAAAGUCACCCCUGGGGAAGUCCAAGGCAGCGCUGGCCUCUUCCUUCUGCUGUGGGGGCAGCGCAGGCAAACCUUGCCGGCUAAAGAGAACCGCCCUAAGCAAAAACAUAAACACAGGUGUCCGGGCUCCCGGGGAGCUGGAGCUUAAGGUGGAUCUAGUGAAGCAAACCAGCGGCGUCUCUCCCAGGUGGUCAUCCGGUGGCUGCCCCCCAGCAUCACCAAGGAGCAGCUGGAACAGCAGCUGCACCUGCUGCCCGCACACCUUUACCGAGCUCAGGGGAGGACCAGGAGACAGCAAUGCAGAAACUCUGCCUGGGACUUUUUGCCAGUUGGAACUCCGGAUUGCUGUCACACAGAACUUCUCAGCACUCUUUAAGUCUGGAUGCUGGCAAAUCCAGUUUGGUGAUAACCUUUCCUUUAGGAGAAAUUGCUGAGCUCUGCAGGAACUGUGAAUGGUGACUAUCUGGUAAUUCUAAGACUGAAAAGCAAGAGGUAAAGAGAUGGGAAAUGAGAAUUGAUGGGGAGAAGCAGGGGCAUCCAUGUUCAACCUCAGCCUGAGAGUCUGAGUUAAUCUGCAGUGAAGGUGGUGCAGUGGUAAAGAAUCCACCUGCCAAGGCAGAAGAAACAGGAGACAGCCAGUUCAGUCUCUGGGUGAGGAAGAUUUCCUGGAAGAGAAGGAAAUGGCAACCCACUCCAGUAUUCUUGCCUGGAAAAUACCACGGACAGAGGAGUCUGCCAGGCUCCUGGGGUUGCAAAGAGUUGGACAUGAUUGAGCACACACAUAUUUUAAGAAAAACUUAAUAAAUGUUAAUG
Molecule: long non-coding RNA, 1271 nt
Organism: Bos taurus (domestic cattle)
Lineage: Eukaryota; Metazoa; Chordata; Mammalia; Artiodactyla; Bovidae
Source: Ensembl